RNAcentral lists this ribosomal RNA (3063 nucleotides) under Musa schizocarpa. RNAcentral's name for it is "eukaryotic LSU rRNA". It matches the Rfam family "Eukaryotic large subunit ribosomal RNA", at positions 455 to 3401 of the family's 3401-position model. The record is from RNAcentral. Lineage: Eukaryota; Viridiplantae; Streptophyta; Magnoliopsida; Zingiberales; Musaceae.
AAAAGAUUCAUCUAUUGCUUGUGAAAAGAGGAGGAAUACAUGGCUAUUUAUAGGGUUUCUAAACCCUAACUCCUAAAAGGACUCCUACUCAAGACUCCUUCUAACCAACUCCUAACAGACUUCUAAUCAAGACUCCUAUUUCUUUACAACUCCUAAUUUAUCUCUAAGAAACAAUCUCCUAACCCUAGCAGGCCUCUUCACAUCUUUAAUAGGGGUCGGCUUAGGUAGGUUUUACAUGAAUGUCCCUCUCAAUUAGGACUCUCCUAGCUAGAGUCCUAACGUACACGUGCGACCUAGGCAUCGGCCAGUGGGCUCCCCAUCCGACCCGUCUUAAAACACGGACCAAGGAGUCUGACAUGCGUGCGAGUCGACGGGUGCGGAAACCCGGAAGGCACAAGGAAGCUAACGGGCGGGAACCCUCUCGAGCAGUUGCACCGCCAACCGACCCCGAUCUUCUAUGAAGGGUUCGAGUUGGAGCAUGCAUGUCGGGACCCAAAAGAUGGUGAACUAUGCCUGAGCGAGGCGAAGCCAGAGGAAACUCUGGUGGAGGCCCGAAGCGAUACUGACGUGCAAAUCAUUCGUCUGACUUGGGUAUAGGGGCGAAAGACUAAUCGAACCAUCUAGUAGCUGGUUCCCUCCAAGUUUCCCUCGGGAUAGCUGGAGCCCACGGCGAAGUUCUAUCGGGUAAAGCCAAUGAUUAGAGGCAUCGGGGGCAUAACGCCGUCGACCUAUUCUCAAACUUUAAAUAGGUAGGACUGGCGCUGCGUUGUUGAGUCGCUGUCAGGAAUCGGAGAGCUCCAAGUGGGCCUUUUUUUGGUAAGCAGAACUGGGCGAUGUGGGAUGAACCAAAGCCGGGUUCUGGUGCCCAACUGCGCUAACCCGGACACCACAAAGGGUGUUGGUCGAUUAAGAGACAGGACGGUGGUCAUGGAAGUCGAAAUCCGCUAAGGAGUGUGUAACAACUCACUGCCGAAUCAACUAGCCCCGAAAAUGGAUGGCGCCAAGCACGCCGACCCACACCCCGCCAUCGGGCGAAAGCCAAGCCCCGGAUGAGUAGGAGGGUGCGGCGGUCGCCAAGAAAACCCAGACGCGAGCAGCCGGGCGGCGGCCGGGUGCAGAUCUUGGUGGUAGUAGCAAAUAUUCAAAUGAGAACUUUGAAGGCAAGAGGGGAAAGGUUCCAUGUGAACGACACUUGCACAUGGGUUAGCCGAUCCUAAGGGACGGGGAAGCCCAUCCGAGCGUGUCUCCGCUGAAGCUUCGAAGGGAAUCGGGUUAAAAUUCCCAGCCGGGAUGCGCGGCGGACUUAAACGUUAGGAAGUCCCGAGACGCCGGGCGGGGCUCCGGAAGAGUUAUCUUUUUUCUGCUUAACGCCCGCCCACCUCGAAACGGCUCAGCCGGAGGUAGGGUCCAGCUGGUCGGAGGAAGAAGCGCCGCCGCGUCCACGGGCGUCCGGUCGCCCGGGCGGCCCUUGAAAUUGAGGACCGAAAGUGCCGCCCGCCGCGGUCGUACUCGUACUCAUAACCGCAUCAGGUCUCCAAGGUCAUGACCUCCCGCCCAUGGAACAAUGUAGGCAAGGGAAGUCGGCAAAACGGAUCCGUAACCGGGAAAAGGAUUGGCUCGAGGGCUGGGCACGGGGUCCCCCCAACCGUCGGUGGUCGGCGGACUGCUCCGAGCUACUCUCGCGACGAGAGCUGGUCGCCGCUGUCGGGCCGGGGAUCGGACCGGGAAUGGCCCCUCGGGGGCCUUUCCCGAAAGCGUCGAACAGCCGAACUCAAAACCGGUACCGGACAAGGGGAAUCCAUGUUUAAUUAAAACAAAGCAUUGCGAUGGUCCCCCGGAUGCUCACAUAAUGUGAUUUCUGCCCUGCUAUGAAUGUCAAAGUGAUGAAAUUCAACCAAGCGCUGGUAAACAAGGAGUAACUAUGACUCUCUUAAGGUGGCGAAAUGCCUCGUCAUCUAAUUAGUGACGCGCAUGAAUGGAUUAAUGAGAUUCCCAUUGUCCCCGUCUACUAUCCAACGUGAAACCACAACCAAGGGAACGGGCUUGGCAGAAUCAGGGGGAAAGAAUACCUGUUGAGCUUGACUCUAGUCCGACUUUUUGUGAAAUGACUUGAGAGGUGUAGGAUAAGUGGGAGCCGGUUCGCGGGCGGAAGUGAAAUACCACUACUUUUAACGUUAUAUUACUUAUUCCGUGAGUCGGAUAGGGGCCCCCCCUCCUUUUGACCCAAGGCGCUGCCCGAAGGCCGAUCGAUCCGCGGAAGACAUUGUUAGGUGGGGAGUUUUGGGGCGGCACAUCUGUUAAAAGAUAACGCAGGUUUCCUAAGAUGAGCUCAACGAGAACAGAAAAUCUCGUGUGGAACAAAAGGGUAAAAGCUCGUUUGAUUCUGAUUUCUAAUCCUAAUAUGAACCGUGAAAGCGUGGCCUAUCGAUCCUUUAGACCUUCGGAAUUUGAAGCUAGAGGUGUCGGAAAAAGUUACCACGGGAUAAUUGGCUUGUGGCAGCCAAGUGUUCAUAGCGACGUUGUUUUUUGAUCCUUCGAUGUCGGCUCUUCCUAUCUUUGUGAAGCAUAAUUCACCAAGUGUUGGAUUGUUCACCCACCAAUAGGGAACGUGAGCUGGGUUUAGACCGUCGUGAGACAAAGUUAGUUUUUUACCCUACCGAUGAUCGUGGUCGCGAUAGUAAUUCAACCUAGUGCGAGAGGCACCGUUGAUUCACACAAUUGGUCAUCGCGCUUGGUUGAAAAGCCGCUGGCGCCGGUUACCGCGGUGUCGGAUUAUGACUGAACGCCUCUAAGUCAGAAUCCUAGCUAGCAACCGGCGCUCGCCGUCGCCGCCUCCCGACCCCAGUAGGGGCCUUUGGCCCCUAUGGGGCUCGUGUCACCGGUGUAGCCCUCGGUGGUAUAGCCACGGCGGCCAUCGGAAGUGAAAUUCCGCACGGACGUUGGGUGAAUCCAUUGCAGGCGACUUAAAUACGCGAUGGGGCAUUGUGGUGGUAGAGUGGCCUUGCUGCCACGAUCCACUGAGAUCCAGCCCUGCGUCGCAUGGAUUCGUCCCCCUCCCCAAAU